CCCUUAGAUGUUCUGGGCCGCACGCGCGCUACACUGAUGCAUUCAACGAGUCUAAAACCUGCUCUGAUAGGGGUGGGUAAUCUUUUGAAUGUGCAUCGUGAUUGGGAUAGAUGAUUGCAAUUUUUCAUCUUCAACGAGGAAUGCCUAGUAAACGCAAGCCAUCAGCUUGCAUUGAUUACGUCCCUGCCCUUUGUACACACCGCCCGUCGCUCCUACCGAUUGAAUGAUCCGAUGAAUAUCAUGGAUUGAGGAUUAUAGCAGGUUCGCCUGUCUUGAUCUUCGAGAAGUGAAGUAAAUCUUAUCAUUUAGAGGAAGGAGAAGUCGUAACA
RNAcentral lists this ribosomal RNA (329 nucleotides) under uncultured eukaryote. Its description in RNAcentral is "partial 18S ribosomal RNA". It matches the Rfam family "Eukaryotic small subunit ribosomal RNA", at positions 1470 to 1796 of the family's 1831-position model. The record is from RNAcentral.